CGAUCUAAGGAUGAAAGUGGGGGAUUCGCAAGAACCUCAUGCUCCUGGAGCGGCCGAUAUCUGAUUAGCUAGUUGGUAGGGUUAAAGCCUACCAAGGCAUCGAUCAGUAGCUGGUCUGAGAGGACGACCAGCCACACUGGAACUGAGACACGGUCCAGACUCCUACGGGAGGCAGCAGUGGGGAAUUUUGGACAAUGGGCGCAAGCCUGAUCCAGCAAUGCCGCGUGAGUGAAGAAGGCCUUCGGGUUGUAAAGCUCUUUUGUCAGGGAAGAAACGGAUCUUUCUAAUACAGAGAUCUAAUGACGGUACCUAAG
RNAcentral lists this ribosomal RNA (314 nucleotides) under Zoogloea sp. 01WB03.4-47. Its description in RNAcentral is "bacterial SSU rRNA". It matches the Rfam family "Bacterial small subunit ribosomal RNA", at positions 190 to 483 of the family's 1533-position model. The record is from RNAcentral. Lineage: Bacteria; Pseudomonadati; Pseudomonadota; Betaproteobacteria; Rhodocyclales; Zoogloeaceae.